RNAcentral lists this ribosomal RNA (798 nucleotides) under uncultured Porphyromonadaceae bacterium. Its description in RNAcentral is "bacterial SSU rRNA". It matches the Rfam family "Bacterial small subunit ribosomal RNA", at positions 8 to 795 of the family's 1533-position model. The record is from RNAcentral. Lineage: Bacteria; Pseudomonadati; Bacteroidota; Bacteroidia; Bacteroidales; Porphyromonadaceae.
AGAGUUUGAUUAUGGCUCAGGAUGAACGCUAGCGAUAGGCCUAACACAUGCAAGUCGAGGGGCAGCACAUGAAGUAGCAAUACGGAUGGUGGCGACCGGCGCACGGGUGAGUAACGCGUAUGCAACCUGCCUACAACAGGGGAAUAACCCGUUGAAAGACGGACUAAUACCCCAUAACACAGGGAUCCCGCAUGGGAAUAUUUGUUAAAGAUUUAUCGGUUGUAGAUGGGCAUGCGUUCCAUUAGCUUGUUGGUGAGGUAACGGCUCACCAAGGCAACGAUGGAUAGGGGAACUGAGAGGUUUAUCCCCCACACUGGUACUGAGACACGGACCAGACUCCUACGGGAGGCAGCAGUGAGGAAUAUUGGUCAAUGGACGCAAGUCUGAACCAGCCACGUCGCGUGAAGGAAGACGGCCCUACGGGUUGUAAACUUCUUUUGUAAGGGAAUAAAGUGUAGUACGUGUACUAUUUUGCAUGUACCUUACGAAUAAAGAUCGGCUAACUCCGUGCCAGCAGCCGCGGUAAUACGGAGGAUCCGAGCGUUAUCCGGAUUUAUUGGGUUUAAAGGGUGCGCAGGCGGGAGAUUAAGUCGGCGGUGAAAUUUUGCAGCUCAACUGUAAAAGUGCCUUCGAAACUGGUUUCCUUAAGUGUGGAUGAAGUAGGCGGAAUUUGUGGUGUAGCGGUGAAAUGCAUAGAUAUCGCGAGGAACUCCGAUUGCGCAGGCAGCUUACUAAACCAUAACUGACGCUCAGGCACGAAGGCGUGGGGAUCAAACAGGAUUAGAUACCCUGGUAGUC